Long non-coding RNA from Lagopus leucura (white-tailed ptarmigan), 2338 nucleotides. RefSeq lists it as uncharacterized. NCBI's taxonomy places the organism in Eukaryota, Metazoa, Chordata, Aves, Galliformes, Phasianidae. The record is from RefSeq and is a predicted model, not a curated record. The transcript has 4 exons.
UGGAUGAAAUUCAUUCCGGUUAUUUGUAAUAAAUGUAUUGACAGAGGGAAGAAAAAAGCUAAUCAUACAAAGUUACCUCUCAAGAGUAAAUUAUUAGGCUUAUGAGUAUUCCAUGAAAACUUUAUCUCCACUGCAGUCAAGAAAGUAAAGCUGUUGUUAUCAGGAGGCAUACUGUUGUUAUCAGGAGGGAACAUUGCUACGUUCGGAUCCUCUGAUCAAUCCUGAGAUUGUUUGCAUCUGUGCAAUCAUAAUUACUCCAUCUCCACCAAAGAUCAAAAAUGAUGUACUGGAACAGAAGGAACUGUGAAGAAGGCAAAAAAGGUGACUGGCGGUAUUAGAAUGGCUGCAGUAGAAGAAAUGACCAAGAAAGUUUGUAAUUUCUUGCUGCACAGAAAGCAAACAAUUGAAAGAGGCACAGGAAAGAGGUUUCUGAAAGCACAAAGAGCAUAAAGAAAAGAGAAGUGACAGUGAACAGGCAAUCCCUUGUUAAUAGUAAAAACUGGGGGCAUCAAAGAACAUCAGCAGGGCUGAAGUUUGAAACAGGACAGAGGGGACUUCUCCAUGAAAGGCCUAAGUGAGCAGCGGGCCUCCUUGUGGCUGGAUAUUGUGAAUGUCAGACGUUUAUUUACCUGUGCUCUGGGCCAAAGAAAAACCCUUUGUUCUGUCUAGCACAGCUCUUGAUUCCCUGGAGCCUUGGUGCAUACUGCUUCUCUAAUGCUAUUUCUACCAGAGAAUAUUCUCAUGCUUUUUCAGUCUUAUGAAUAUAGAGGCUGAAAGUGUGCAGCUAAAAAGUUUGUGUUGCAGAGUGAGGAGGAAAAGCUGAACUGCUGAACAGAGAGAUGACCAGAAGUGUAAGAACACCGAGCCCGGCAAACUCAGUGAACAAGUGAGAACUGCAAGAGCAGAAUUGUAGUCUUCCAUUUCAAAUGUUAAGGAAUGCAAACAGUUGGCAGAGCUGAGAAAAGUAAACAGAACUUCUGCUUGGAAGACAGAGGUUUUUAACCAGCAGGAAAACUCUAGCAUAGAUGAAGACAGCUGGAAACAGUAGACAAGUUACGCACUCAUGUCCUCAUUGAAAUGAGACUUGCUGGAUCUAAAAAAAGAGACAAGCAGCUAAGUUAAAUCAGAAUGGAUAUGUACCAGUCUUACUGCCCACGUUGAGAGCAGGGUAUAACUAGCUGACAUCAGGGACCUGUUAGUACUGCCUGGCUCUUAAGGCUACAAAUGACCAUCAGAAACUCACAGAAUCUCAAGAUCCAGCAAGAGUGAAUUAAUAGACUGCUUUAGGGUCUAUUUAGAUUUAGGGAUUUAAAACUAAUGGAAUGCAGGGGAAAUGCUUUGCUUUGCCUUCUUUUAUCCAGCGGUGUUAAAAAUAUGCAGCACUGGUCAGAAAUCCCCACAAAUGUGCCCACACCACAUUGAUGGCUCUUUCAGCAGCACUUUGUGAGGAUCAUCUGCAGGAACAGCGUCACAUCUGUGGGAGCAGCAGAGAUGUCGCUUCCUUUGUCAACGAGUUUUCUGAAAUCAGAGAAAUGCUGUGCUGCUGUUUCUCAGGGAACGCAGUAACUUCAGGCAGUGCCACAGAGCGACGGCCCUGGGGUGGUGAACGGCAGAGAGGGGAGUCCAUCCAUCCUUCCAGUGCAGAGGUGGGAAGUUUUAGGCUGUGGUCUGACGGAAAGUCUACGUGGAGUCAAAUUUCAGAGCUGGAGCCCUGAACUGCAGUGAGUCACACAGAGAGCCUGAGAGCUGCCUUUGUUCCACUUGUGUCUGAACGUUGGAGGAGAAACAGCAGGCUCCAGUUUUCUGUAACUUGUUUUCAGAAGUAUAAAAUUCAUGUUCACUGAACAUUUUCCUUCCGCCCUUGAGGUCUUUCAACUGACUUUCAAAAAAUGCUGUCAUGUUGUGCCUGGUGGAGCUGGAAUGUGCUGCUACUGUUCUUAGGCUUGUCGAUCCAUGCUUGUUCAGCAGCUCAGGUCAUAGAAGAUAACAAGGGAAAGACCACAUCUGAAAUACAAGGAGAGAACAAAACCUUACAUGGUAGGACGUUUGAAGCUCAGCAGAGGAGCAGUCUGACAAAAUGGCAUCUGGCAUGGAAGCGCCUCUGAAGUGAAGGUGUACAGAAUACCUCCUCGCAGACAAAAAGUGGCAAUGGCACCUGCUGACAUUCAUCACCUCUUGCCAAAUGUUUCUGGAGACCAAGCAAUGGAUGUGAGCACAGUGGGGCAGUGAGUGGUGCAUUUCAGCUGUGGUGACAGUGGCAGUGGUUCAUCUCUUGUAGUUCCACAGAUUUCCACAGGUGUGGUUUGCUGGCAAAAAUACAUGUGGUUUAUCUCUAUAU